RNAcentral lists this ribosomal RNA (253 nucleotides) under uncultured bacterium. RNAcentral's name for it is "partial 16S ribosomal RNA". It matches the Rfam family "Bacterial small subunit ribosomal RNA", at positions 524 to 776 of the family's 1533-position model. The record is from RNAcentral.
UACGGGGGGGGUAAGCGUUGUUCGGAAUUACUGGGCGUAAAGGGCUCGUAGGCGGCCAACUAAGUCAUACGUGAAAUCCCUCAGCUUAACUGGGGAACUGCGUGUGAUACUGGAUGGCUUGGAUGUGGGAGAGGGAUGCGGAAUUCCAGGUGUAGCGGUGAAAUGCGUAGAUAUCGGGAGGAACACCAGUGGCGAAGGCGGCUGCCUGGGCCAGUUCUGACGCUGAGGCGCGAAAGCGUGGGGAGCAAACAGG